RNAcentral lists this small RNA (9558 nucleotides) under Pyricularia oryzae. RNAcentral describes it as "Magnaporthe oryzae sRNA M_BR32_EuGene_00144751". The record is from RNAcentral. Lineage: Eukaryota; Fungi; Ascomycota; Sordariomycetes; Magnaporthales; Pyriculariaceae.
UUAUAUUAUAUAUGGGUAUUUUACCAGAAUUUGAAAGAUUUUAAUAAUUAAUUAUAUAAAUAUUUAUAAAUGUUAAUUAUAUAAAUUAUAUAUUUAUAUAAUAUUUAUAUUAUAUACCUAUUGUGUAAACUUAUUCCCGACCGGCGGAAAUCGACGAAUUGCUUUAUUUUAAAACAGGCGUUUACUUUUCGCAGAUUUAAUUAGCCGAAAACUUAUAUCGCUGGGUAAAUAUAUUAAAACGCUCCUUCCACUUGCAGCGCCGGGGGUUUAAUAAUUGCAUUAUAGCUUUUAGUAAUAUUAUACUAUUUUAGGGCUUAUUUAAUAAUACUAUUAUCUGUCGAGUUUCUACGUAAAGUUUACCACUAAAACGGAAUUAAAUAAAGUUUAUAUAUAUUGUGGAUAGACUUUCUGUAAGUCCUAUUAAUUAUAUGCAUUAUUUUGCACGUAAUAAACUCACUUUUAUUUACAUUUAAACCUUAAUAUAUAAUACCAAAACGGGAUUAUUAGAACUCCGUUAAUUUAUUAUAUAUAGAAAUUGCGAUUUAAAAUUUAUAAAAUGGGAUUAAUUACCCUAUACCGGGUUCAACACCCACCCUGCACUUAUAAAUUAAUUACCUUAUACCGGGUUAAAAAUUUUACGAAAAUCGCAUUUAAACGCAAACCCAAGAUAAUUUAUAUACAAAUAAGGGUAUUUUUUCAAAACUUAUAUAAAUUAAUUUUUCAAAAAACCACCUGCGGUACCGGAAACCUUUCCAGCCUACUGACCCCAAUUUUGAAAUUGGAAAAUAUAUAAAGGAAAAAAGCAAAUUUCCCCCAAUUAAUAUAACUAGUUGUCCCAAGUUUUAAUCCAUUUUUAUUAUAUAUUUACAAAAUAUUACCUGUAAUUUAGAAUUUCCCCCUAAAUCCCUGUUAAUAUACUAAUAUUAUUAAUAUAUUAUAAGCCUGGUAAAAUUUUAAUUUGUGUAUAAAACGCAUUUUAUAUUGUUGGAAAACCUAAAUUUCAGGUUUUAUUUUGGUUGUUAUUACAUUUUUACAACACGUAUAUUAACGGCAAUAUUGCUACUUGUGUGCAAAUUAUUAGUUAUAUAUAUAUUGUUUAGCACCUAUCCCCCCUAUAUUAAUAAUAAAGGGUCGGUAAUUUGGCGUUUAAUUUAGGCCGAAUUUUAAAGUAUUAUAACGCACGUUGGUAUUACAGAUUCCAAAUUUGUAAUGUGGUUUUUAUGGGUUAUAUAUUAUUAUUACAAUUAAAUUGAAAUUUUAAUGCGUUUAAUGGGGUUUGCGUUAGUAAAUUAGAAUUAGAACCCUUGCAUUUGUUUGUUUAUAACCUAAAAACCCACCAAUUGUUAUAUUGCAUUUAUUUUAUAUAUUACCCUGAAAUCUAUCCUGCAGCUAUUUAACAAAUUGAUUUUCGUUUGCUAUAUAUAUUUGAAUUAAUAUAAAUACGCAAACACUUAUAAAUUGUGGAUUUUGGGGGUUUUAACUUUGUAUUUCUAUUGCAUUCGACCAUUGAAAAUAAUAAUAAACCUCAUAUCUUUUGCACGUAUAAAUUUAUAACAGUUAAAAGGCAAACGGUUAUAACUAAUUUUACAUUAAGGUAUUUACCUUUAAAUAAUUAGGUUAAUAACCUCUCAAUUAAAAUUUAAGCCAUUUUACCAAAGAAACCCUAUAUUUGGCCUUCCAGGCCCAAUUUUACAAAAUAGGGGAUUUUAACCCAACCCAAACAAAAUUUUAACCGUUAAAUUACAAAUUCAAAAACUGCGAUUGAAAAUGUUAAUUACGCAAAUAAAUUAAUUUUAAUAUAUAAUUUAAUAAUAUGUAUUUUUAUUAACGUUAACAAAUGGCGAACUUACUAAUUCCAAUAAUAUUGCGGGUAUUAAUACCCCUAAUAACAGUAAUUUAAAUACCAGCCCAUAAAUUCUUAGGGCUAGUAAUAUUAUUAUAACGUUUAAUCCAUUUAAUAGCCUAAUCUUGGGUGACGGGAUAGGUAAAAAAACAUUAAAACGGGUGUUUUCCUUGCCUAAAAAUUGCAAAUUAAUAGGGGUUAAUAAUCUCAACCUGUAAAAGUAGGUAUUUAUAAUGCAAUUUAAAGUUAUAAAAAUUGCAAAGUUUAUAUUUAAUUUUAUAUUUGGUUAUAAUUUACCGGAACGCGAACACCUCAUCCUGUUAUUAUAUAUAAAAAACAAUUUAACUAAAUAAUUGCUAAAAUUUAUUAUAUAGUAUUUUAAUUUUGUAACGGUUUGUAAAAUCCUAGAAAAUAAAUAUUCCGUUGCAUUUAAAAUUAACCAGAAUCCAUUAUAUUAGAAAUUCCACGACCUGAAUCUUUCGGGAUUUAAAAGGUAAAUACCAAAAUUUAACAACUGUUUUAAUUUACUAAUAAUUAAAUUAGCAGAUAUUCAUAUGCAAUUUAAUUCUGCUAAUAUCCGAAAUUAAUAUUUACAAAUACUGGAAAAAUAUUUCCUUACCUGGACGGAACGCCAAUGUAAUAUUUAACGGGUUUUGCAAAUUAUAAGCCAAAAUUCGGAUAGGGUAAAUUUGCAAUAUUAUAUAGCGGACUUUAUAUCCGAAAGUUUAUUUUACAUGUUUUAUAAUAAUUAAAAUCACUAAAUCUAAGGUUAGAAAUCGAAGAAACGUUAAAAGAAUGCUAAAGAAAGCGCUAAAAAGGAAAACAGCGGGCAAAAAGCCACCUCCAAACUAUAAAGAAAAAGCGAAACUUUUAAUUCGGAUUUUUUUUUUGCAAAAAAUAUUAAAUCCUCCAAUUUGAGCAAAUCGAACGUUGGAAAGUUUAUAAUUUUAAUGGACUUCGAAUUAUAUAUAAAUUUCACUUCAAAUAAUAUUGAUAUAUACGUAAUAUAUAACGGUUUAAAAUAGGCAAAUAAUUCGGGUGGUUAUAUACCGUACCGGGUAUUUUAACAAAAGGGUAAUUUUAUUAUUAAUAGGCUUAUAGAAUUAUAUUCGGAAUCGGAUUUGGAAGCCAAUUAAUUAUACUUGUAAAACGCUAAAACCCCAAAUAUUAAUAAUUGAUUUCAAAAUUAAAACAGAAUUUGAAAACGGCGUAAAUAGGAGUUUAAAACCCCAUGAAUUAAAUUACCCGGUUUUAAAUAAUAUAAAUAGCACGUAUUAUAUUUUUGCAAAUAAAUUACUUCUUACCGAUUAUAUCCCCGGUUUAAUAAUUACAAUUAGUACGCGAGGCAAUCCUAUUAAAUUUAUUGGUAUUGGAAUUGUUAAAAUAUAAAUCCGGCAUAGUUUUAAAAUUAACGAAUUUAGAAAGAAUUUGUUAAAUAACGUAUUAUAUAUUCCCUUGUUUAGAAUAAGUAUUGUUAAUGGGUUAAUAUAUUAUUAUAUAAGGGGCAUACCUUUAAUAAGUACCUUGUACAAUCGGGAUUGCAAAACGUGGGGACGUUUGAAUACCUUUAAAAAUUGGUUUUAUUUAAAAGUAAAAAAAUGCGAUAUUUUUAUUUUAAAUUUCAAAUGUAUGGUAUCGAAUCACGCCAAUAUAAUUGGUAAAUAUAAUCCUGUUUUUAAUUUAAUUUUACACAAAAGGUUUAAAGACUACGCAACCCCAUUGGACGUAAAUUUAAAUAAUAUAACAUUUAAAAACCAAAACAAUUAUAAACUUUAUAUUAAUUCGGAACCGGAAAGAAACAUAAUAACGGAAAAUUAUAUCCUAAAUAAAAUAAAAAUAUAACCGUAAAUUUAUUUAUAAUGCAAAAGUUUAACAUAAUAAAUUCUAAAAGUUAACGUGAAAUUAAAUCCUAUAAAUGUAAUAAACCGUUAAGUAGCCCUUUUAUAUAAUUAAAUAUAAAAAAAAGCUAACUCCGAAAAAGGGGUUUCCGUUAUAAAAAAUCUGUUAUUAAAACCUUUUUUAUUACCAGACUUAAUACAAAUCCCUGCUAAUUACCUUUUUAAAAUUUAAAUCGAAUUACCGAUCGUUGAGUAACGGUUUGACAAAAUGGUGUUAGAGGCAAUUACAACGAUAUCCAGGUCCAGAAAACCCUAUUACAAUAUAAGUGUUUAGGGUAUAUAGGGUUAUUAUUCUUUAAAACACCGCUAAAAACGCAAACGGUUUAUUUAAUUUUCCCAAAAUUAGGGUUAUAAAUUACAAUACCUGCAUUAAAACUGUUUUGGUUAGCCGUAUAAGUAAAACAAUAUUCCUUACAUUUUCUAAUACUCUCGAUUUUAUACAAAGUAAUAUAGUAAUUUUUAAAUUUAAUUUUUAUAGUAAAAAACCUGUAUUUGUAUUAUAAAUACAUUAAAAAUUACAUUUUUGGUAAUUGAUUUUAUUACGUAAUAUAACCGGAUUUAUAAUUAUAAUGGCUAUUAAAACUCUUUUAAGGGGUUUUAAUAUUACGUACGGGCGUUACCCUAUUAAAUUUAAUUUUAAUAGGGGGUACGAAAUUAAUAAAAACUUAAAAAUUAAUUUGUAAAUAAAAAUGCUAACUUUAAUAUUUCCCAUUUUUAUAACCACGACCACAAUAGGUUUUAACGGAACGGUCCGUUAAAAUUAUUUUAAAUAAAUUUAAAUUUAUUACUAUAACGGCAAAUUUACAAUUAUAUUCAUAAUAUUAUAUAUUACCAGCUCUAACUAAUAGUUUUAGCCGUAUAGCGGUAAUUAAUAAAAAAUUAAAAUUAUAUAAAAAGUUUAAUUCCGAAUUUUAAAUUAAAUAAUUAUAUAAACCUGAUUUAAAAUUUUUCUAUAUUAUUAAUACCGUAUACCAGGCUAUUUUACCGUUGGAAAAACGCCAGAAAUUUCAAAAAUUGGUUUCCCACACAAAAGUGAUAAAUUUUUUAAUUUAUUUAUCCAAGUAUAUAACGUUGGUUUACGCCCCCGUUAAAUAAACCAUGUAUAAAACUUUUACUGUGAAAUUUGUAAAGCUUAUAUUUUUAAAAAAUUCAACUAUUUUAAAAAGAGCGUUAUAAAAUUUAAAAAGGGAAAAUUCAAAUUUAAAAAGGGAUUUUAAUUUUAAAUUUGAAAACGAGAUUUACAGCGAUAAAAAUCUGGAUUUGAUUAAUAAUUUUUUUACCACGCGUUAUAAAGCGUAUAAUCUUUGUUAAUAUAAUAUUUCCCAGGUUUAUAUAGUUUAUCAUUUGCCCCUAAACGUUUAUAACGGUAACGGUACCUGAUUUAAUAUUUAAAAUAACGGAAAUUCCAGUGUUUUUGGUAUUUAAAAUAUAAUAUAUGGAAUUAAAUUUGCAAUUCCAAAUCCCAAUUCCAAUAGUUAUAAGUUAUAUAUAUUAUUUUUAUUUAUUUGCCUAAAAAUUAAUAAAGAAACCCCAUCAAAUAUAAUAAACCAAAUAAUUACCAGUAAAUUGUAAAACAUUUUCAAAAAUAUUAGACUGAUAAUAAUUUUAAUAUUUAAGUUCGACCAAACUAUUGCUGCAAAAGCCUUCCGUUUUAAAUUUAAAAUUAAAAGACCUGCAAGCCGAGAAUUAGUUUUUACGCGGCCGGUAUUUGGAUUAAAAAGAAUUUAAAAAUAGUAGGCCUAUAAAAUAUAAGACCAGGUUUAUUAUUAAGAUAUUUUUACAAAUUAAAAGUUUAAAUUAUACCGAAACUUUUGCUAGUUUUAAAAUACCGCCUAUUAGGUAUAUAUUAUCAAUUACAAUUAAUAAACAAAAUUAGGAAAUACGAUAAAUUAAUUUUAUCGGCACGUUCUCAAAUUAUACUUCUACCGACGUAGAUAUUUACUUGCAAAUUCCGGAAAUUUUAACGUAUAGGUUAAAUUUUGGAAUAUUACAACCGUUGAAACUUUAAUAAAAAUGGGUUAUAAUUUUAAGAAAAUUCAAAUUAUACAAUUGGAAAAAAGUUAUACGGUUUGAGACAGGGUUUGGAGAAAUGGCAAAUAAAAUUAAAAAACCUAUUUUUUACAAGAAGUUUUAAACCGCCAAUUUUCAAUUCCGUUGUUUUUUAUAAUAGCAAGUCCAAAUAUUUUAUUAUUAUUUUUAUCAGCAAUUGCCUGCUAAUAAAGUUUAAAUUGCAAUGCGUUCAGGAUUUAAAAGCCCGUUUUGAUAAAAAAUACGCGUUAAAAAAUAGGGGCCCUGCAAUUUAUUGUUUAAAAGUUUAAAUUAUAAAAAAUAGAUUCAACCACCUAUUUUGGUUCCAUUAAUAUUAAUAUACGAAAAGUUUUUAAUAAAGUUCGGAUUAAUUAAUUGCAAAUUUAUUUGUACGUUUUUUACAACCGGAUAUAUUAGAAUAUAGUCGGCGUAAACCUGUAAAUCCGUUGGAAACCAAACUAUUAUAAUAUAUUAUCGGUACCCUAAUAUAUAUAAUAUUAUUCAAACGUCCAAACAUUGGUUUUGCAAUUGUAUAAAUAUUUCGUUUUUUAACUAAAACUAUUAUAAUUUAUUUAAUGGCAAUUACAAGAUUAUUCCGCUAUUUGACAGGUAUUAAAUCCUGAAUAAUUUGCUACGGAAACAAAAUAAUCAAAAUUAAUUUAUCACCUAAUGUUUCAAUUGAGGGUUUAAAAAUUUACAAUAUUUGGUUUUAAUAAUAAUAAUUUUACCGGGGUUAGGGAGAAUUUAAAAUCCAUUUACGGAUAUUUAUAUAUUUUAUUUGGUGGUUUUAUAACGUGAAAAUGCAAAAGAUUAGUAUUUUAAUUUCAAAUACUUUAAAAACCAAACAAAUAAUUUAAUCGAAAUUUUGCGCAAAAUAUUAUAAUUUGAAAACGUAUUUAUAAAAACUAAAUUAUUUGUAAAAAGCCCUAUUGCAAUAUUUGGAAAUAAUAUAAAUUUUAAAGUUAACGUAUAUAAGUUUACGUAUUAUUAACGUAUUAAAUAUAUAUUAUUAGAAUUUUAUUACGUAGGGGAAUUAAUUACAGAAAAAUAAACAAUUUUAAAAUAUCUCGAAUUUAAACAAAUACCCGCUAAUAAAUUUACAAUCCCCCUAACGCUUCUAAUUUACAUAGGCUUUUGUAAACUUAUAAAAUUAAAACCCUUAUAAAUUUACCUUCAAUUUAUUAAGUUUACGGCACCGAAUUAACUCGUUAAUCAAUUCCCACUAUUAUUUUCUUAUUUGUAAUUAUUGGAUUUUUAUUAACCGAAUAUAAACCGUUUUAUUCAAAUUUACUUUAAAGAAAUCGGUUAAUCAACUAUUUAAACCGACCCGAUAUCCAAAAUUACAUUUAAAUUCAAAUAAUACGGGUUUUUGGCAACUUAUUAAUGGGAAAUAUAAUGUAAAUUAUACUUGUUUGGAAUUUUUAAUGACAAAUAACCAAGUUAAUUAUUUGGCUCAAUAAAUAAUUUUGUAAAUUAGAAUUUGUAAAUUGCGGGUUUAAAUUUGGGGGUUAUAAUAAUUUUCGGGAGUUUAUUUAAUUUGGGGGUUUGGACAAGUUCAAUUUUAAUUUGAUUGAAAAAUUCGGUGUAAAAGGUUUAAUUAUCCAGGGGGUUCGUAUCCGCGGUUCGAAUUGGGCUGGGAUCCAUAAUGGAAUCUUUUUUUUUUGUUUUUUAUAUAUACUCUUUCCGACUUUAUUUUUAAAUCAAAUAGCAAAAAUAAUAGUGUUUAUUUUAUAUAUUGCUUUAUAUAUAAUAGACGUAUUCUUAUUCAUACAUUAUUUUUAAUAUAUAAUACUAAAAUGGGGUGGUUAAAAUUCUGUUAAUUUAUUAUAUAUAGGAAUCGUAAUUUAAAAAUUAACAAAUGGGAUCAUUCAUCCUAUACCGGAUUUAAUAUUCACCCUGCACGUACAAACUAAUUACUUUAUACCGGGUUAAAAACUUUACCAAAUUCGCAUUUAAAUCCAAAUUUAAAAAUUAUUUAUAUGUAAAUAACAAUGUUCUUUUCGAAAACAUAUAUAAAUUAAUUUUUCGGAAAAUUAUUUGCGGUACCGGCAAUUCUUUUAACGUAACGACCCCCAUUUUAAUAUCGGAGGGUAUAUAAAGGAAAAAAGCAAAUUCCCCCCAAUUGUUAUAAAAUAAGCUAAUAAUUAUACAAUGGUUGGGUACCCGAAAAAAACUAUUAUUAUUGUUAAAAGGAAAAAAAAGAGGUAGGGAAAAGGUUAUGGCAAUUUUCCUUCCUUCUUAUAUAACGUAUAUUAUUACGUAAUUCCCGCUGCUAUUUAGAAAGACAUAUAUAAUUAGGACGAAUCCGUAAUAUAACCCUUUUUUUCCAGUCUGGAAUUUAUAUAACUCGUAAUUUUCCCGCCCCGAAACCCGGGCUCCCAUCCUACCGCUUUUAUUUCCCCCCGAACGAAACCCUGUUUAACGGUUGUUGGGUCGCGGAAAGGGGGUUGUAUAAAUUACCCCAUUAUUUCCCCGAGGGUAUAAUAUGGGUUUUGUGGCGGUAUAAUUACGUUUGUAUAUUUGUUAUCCUAAUCCCGUAAUUAUAUAUUACCGGUUUCGAAAUAAUUCCGUAUUUUAUACGCGUCGUGGCUGGUAUAAUUAUUAUAUAUUACCGGGCGGUAUAAUUUUUAUCGCAUUUAUUAAUUUUUUGGAUUAAUUUUUUUGCCCCCCGAUUUUGUUUAUUUUUUGUUUUAUUUUCUGUUCGUUAUUAUAUUUUCGUUUAAUAUUACUUAUAAUUUAUCUAAUCCGGUUAAAACGUUUUCUCCCACCGUUACUAAUAUUGGCCAAUUUAAUCUUUUUUAUUUUUUAUAAUACCGUUAUUAUUAAUGGUAAUAAAUUUAUUAUUUUUGCGGUAAACCAAUCCGGCGGUUUUUGAGCGCGUUUGUUUAUUAACCGCGGUUAUAACAUGUUUGUCGUACCGCCGGUUCGAAUAAAUUCAAAAAUAAUUCCAAUAACAAAAAGUAUACCGCGUUUAAAUAACCUAUAUUAUUUUAUUUGUUUUAUAUUACAUUUGUCAAAAUUAGGGGUAUUUUAAAUUAUCUCACCAAUCCCGACGGAACAAUUUAUAUUAAUAUAAUAAUAAUAACAAAAUAUUUUAUAAUUAUACCUAAGAAUUAUAUACCCGAACCUUUUUUGCCUCGUUAACUAAAUAAUUUAUACCGUAUUAUAAUUCGCGGACGUUAUAUUAUUACAGCCAAAUUAUUAAUAAUAUAUAACGUAAAUAAUAAAAUUAUUAAAUCGGGGUACAAUAUUAAAAUAAUAUUCGAAUUUAAUUUCUUUUAUACCGUUUAUAAAUAUAAAUAUAGUCGGUUCCGAGACGAGGAAGUUUUCAAUGCGACUUUAAGUUUUGGCGGUUUUAACAUAUUAUUUUUAAUGCAUUAUAACGGCGGUAAUAAAACCACCCAGCAAUUCUUUUUCUGUUUCGUUUAAAAUAUUAAAUAUAUAAAAAUAAAUUCUUAAUCUUUUCUAAUUUAUAACCCGGAUGGGUAUUAAUUAAUUUUAUUAAAACAUAAUAACAAACGUUAUUAAUAAUUGUUGGAAAUUUAGCGCGAAUCUGUUAUUAUUUAACGCGAAACUAAUAUUAUUAUUUUUAUUUUUGCUAUUUCCGCCGCGUGUUCCGAAAUCCGUCUAAUACGGUAUUUAUUUGCGUUUUUUAACCAAUAUUUAGCCGUUUACAGGUGUUUUUUAUUAUUCUAUUGAACCCGCGUAUGUUUUUUUAGCGGUAUUUUUAUUUUCACCCCCUGGCCUGGUUUUUAUAAACAUUCUAACCAAUUGCGUUAUAAUUUUUAU